Molecule: ribosomal RNA, 253 nt
Filed under: uncultured bacterium
Lineage: Bacteria
Description: partial 16S ribosomal RNA
Rfam family: Bacterial small subunit ribosomal RNA
Source: RNAcentral
UACGUAGGCAGCAAGCGUUGUUCGGAGUUACUGGGCGUAAAGGGUGUGUAGGCGGUUGUUUAAGUUUGGUGUGAAAUCUCCCGGCUCAACCGGGAGGGUGCGCCGAAUACUGAAUAACUAGAGUGCGGGAGAGGAAAGUGGAAUUCCUGGUGUAGCGGUGAAAUGCGUAGAUAUCAGGAGGAACACCGGUGGUGUAGACGGCUUUCUGGACCGUAACUGACGCUGAGACACGAAAGCGUGGGUAGCAAACAGG